CGGGCAUAGCAAUAUGUCAGCGGCAGACGGGUGAGUAACGCGUGGGAACGUACCUUUUGGUUCGGAACAACUGAGGGAAACUUCAGCUAAUACCGGAUAAGCCCUUACGGGGAAAGAUUUAUCGCCGAAAGAUCGGCCCGCGUCUGAUUAGCUAGUUGGUGAGGUAAUGGCUCACCAAGGCGACGAUCAGUAGCUGGUCUGAGAGGAUGAUCAGCCACAUUGGGACUGAGACACGGCCCAAACUCCUACGGGAGGCAGCAGUGGGGAAUAUUGGACAAUGGGCGCAAGCCUGAUCCAGCCAUGCCGCGUGAGUGAUGAAGGCCCUAGGGUUGUAAAGCUCUUUUGUGCGGGAAGAUAAUGACGGUACCGCAAGAAUAAGCCCCGGCUAACUUCGUGCCAGCAGCCGCGGUAAUACGAAGGGGGCUAGCGUUGCUCGGAAUCACUGGGCGUAAAGGGUGCGUAGGCGGGUCUUUAAGUCAGGGGUGAAAUCCUGGAGCUCAACUCCAGAACUGCCUUUGAUACUGAAGAUCUUGAGUUCGGGAGAGGUGAGUGGAACUGCGAGUGUAGAGGUGAAAUUCGUAGAUAUUCGCAAGAACACCAGUGGCGAAGGCGGCUCACUGGCCCGAUACUGACUCUGAUGUAUUAAAGCGUGUGGAGCAUAUAUGAUUAUAUAUUCUGUUAGUCCACGCCGUAAACGAUGAAUGCCAGCCGUUAGUGGGUUUUACUCACUAGUGGCGCAGCUAACGCUUUAAGCAUUCCCGCCUGGGGAGUACGGUCGCAAGAUUAUAUCUCAAAGGAAUUGACGGGGGCCCGCACAAGCGGUGGAAGCAUGUGUUUAAUUCGACGCAACGCGCAGAACCUUACCAGCCCUUGACCUCCCGUUCGCGGACUCCAGAGACGGAGUUCUUUCCUUCGGACUGGCCGGAAACAGGUGCUGCAU
RNAcentral lists this ribosomal RNA (940 nucleotides) under Bradyrhizobium elkanii. RNAcentral describes it as "bacterial SSU rRNA". It matches the Rfam family "Bacterial small subunit ribosomal RNA", at positions 67 to 1046 of the family's 1533-position model. Lineage: Bacteria; Pseudomonadati; Pseudomonadota; Alphaproteobacteria; Hyphomicrobiales; Nitrobacteraceae. The record is from RNAcentral.